This is a non-coding RNA of Dallia pectoralis (Alaska blackfish), 71 nucleotides long. NCBI's taxonomy places the organism in Eukaryota, Metazoa, Chordata, Actinopteri, Esociformes, Umbridae. The record is from the annotation of a GenBank genome assembly.
GCGUUGGUAGCUCAGUGGUAGAGUGCAUGCUUCUAUGUAUGAUGUCCUGGGUUCCAUCCCCAGCUGCUCCC